AUGCCAGACUCCUACGGGAGGCAGCAGUGGGGAAUAUUGCACAAUGGGGGGAACCCUGAUGCAGCGACGCCGCGUGGGUGAAGGAGAACCUCGGUGCGUAAAGCCCUAUCGGCAGGGAAGAAACAGACGGUACCUGACUAAGAAGCCCCGGCUAACUACGUGUCAGCAGCCGCGGUAAUACGUAGGGGGCAAGCGUUAUCCGGAUUUACUGGGUGUAAAGGGGGCGCAGACGGCGAUGCAAGCCAGGAGUGAAAGCCCGGGGCCCAACCCCGGGACUGCUCUUGGAACUGCGUGGCUGGAGUGCAGGAGGGGCAGGCGGAAUUCCUGGUGUAGCGGUGAAAUGCGUAGAUAUCAGGAGGAACACCGGUGGCGAAGGCGGCCUGCUGGACUGCAACUGACGUUGAGGCCCGAAAGCGUGGGGAGCAAACAGGAUUAGAUACCCUCGUAC
This 448-nucleotide ribosomal RNA is filed under the name uncultured bacterium. RNAcentral describes it as "bacterial SSU rRNA". It matches the Rfam family "Bacterial small subunit ribosomal RNA", at positions 328 to 793 of the family's 1533-position model. The record is from RNAcentral.